RNAcentral lists this long non-coding RNA (846 nucleotides) under Heterocephalus glaber (naked mole-rat). Its description in RNAcentral is "lncRNA (ENSHGLG00100051799.1)". The record is from RNAcentral. Lineage: Eukaryota; Metazoa; Chordata; Mammalia; Rodentia; Bathyergidae.
AAGGACUGGGGCCAGAGCGCAAUGUGAAGGCCCUGGGUUCAAUCCCCAGUAGCAAAAAAAAAAGACAUGAAGCAUGGAUUUAGGCCGCAAUCCAGCCUUCUUCUGGGUAUAGAACCAAAAGAAUUGCAAGCAGGAACUCGAAGAGACGUUGCACACCCACGUUGAGGCAGCAUGAUUCACAGCAGCAGGAAGGUGGAGGAACCCACGCACCUGGGACGGAGCAGCCCCGGGUGCAGCAAAUGGAAGGUGCAGCGGAAGGAAGGGAUUGCGGUACAGACGUGCUGCCACAGGCGUGGACGCUAGGUGACCUCAGCCAGUGGCGGAAGGACAAAUACACUUCCGGCCCUUUCCAGGCGCCUGGAGGAGUCGAGUCCCAGGCACUGACAGGCAGCGCGGGGUAACCGGGCCAGCGUGGUCAGGGCGUCAGUGUGCAGCAGACGGCAGCCAGGGCUACACAGCAGCGUGAGAGUGCUUUACACUCAUCUGCGCGCCAGCCCGAAAGCACUCCAUCCGCAGAUGGUCGCUGUGAACAAAUCAGACACCAAACAGCGCUUUGAGGCCCAACAAGCAUGAGAUCAAAUAUGACAGCCGUGGGCACACCGAAGGAGAGAAGCCUCAACCCACCAAGCUGCUUCUUCAAAUAAGCCUUGGGGCACAGCCCACCCUGGCCACCAGCACCUUGGAACUGCUGAGGCAGCAAAGGUGACUCAGACAGGAGUGGAAACUGCACGCUGCUCUGGAAUCCCCGCCUGGGGAGCCCCAGACCCCAUGGGGCAGGAGGGAGCUGCAGGGCCAGGAAAAGGGAAUCGGGGCGCCCUGGAGUCCCUUCCUCCCCAAGAUGCCUCC